CCUUUGUACACACCGCCCGUCGCUACUACCGAUUGAAUGGCUUAGUGAGGCCCUCGGAUCGAGUUCGGAGACUGGAAACAGACUCUGUUUUUGAGAAGUUGGUCAAACUUGGUCAUUUAGAGG
Molecule: ribosomal RNA, 123 nt
Filed under: Glomus sp.
Lineage: Eukaryota; Fungi; Glomeromycota; Glomeromycetes; Glomerales; Glomeraceae
Description: partial small subunit ribosomal RNA
Rfam family: Eukaryotic small subunit ribosomal RNA
Source: RNAcentral